Molecule: long non-coding RNA, 1590 nt
Filed under: Homo sapiens (human)
Lineage: Eukaryota; Metazoa; Chordata; Mammalia; Primates; Hominidae
Description: HSALNT0028031
Source: RNAcentral
GAAAGAAAUGAGAAAUAACUGAAGUAAUGAAAUUACCUCCUGUGUAGUGGCUUUUAAAUAGGCUCUGAAACCUUUCUCCAAAUGUAACUCAAAUAUUGAAUCACGGGGAACUGUUUCCCUCCCCAAAAGGCUAGCUUCUCCAACGUCCGUAAAGUUCAGUGCAUGGCCACUUAGUCCAACUUCCCUCUCACUGCAGACAUCUUUCUGAUGCAGUCAACCACCCUGCACCUCCGUGUGUGUCUCCAGCCUUGUGGACACACUUUCAUGAAAUAUUUUUUGAAACAUGACCGUAGAAGAAAAUGGAUGAUGUGAGAUUGUGAGAAUGUGUUCAACAUUACAGUUUGUCUUUGUUGAAAUAAGGUGUGCCACUGUCUGCCUCAACUGUAGACUUCUAAGCCAUCUCCUUUUUCUUCUCUAAUAAACCGGGCGAAGUCUGGAUCAUGAGCUGACCACCCUUUCACCUCCAUUAUUAGAGGACAUUUUGCUACUUCCUCAAUAUUCUCAACGCAUGGCUUUUCUCUGAAAGUUCUGCAUGCUCGCCAAGAAAUAUAUAACAUCAGCUCGGUUCCAUGGCUCCUGCCUGUAAUUCCAGCUCUUCGGGAUGCUGAGACUGGUGAAUCACUUGAGCUCAGGAGUUUGAGACCAGCCUGGGCAACAGGACAAAGCCCCAUCUCUAUUAAAAAUACAAAAAUUAGCCCAGUGUGGUGGUGCACAUCUGUGGUCCCAGCUACUCUGGAGGAUCACUGGAGCCCGGGAGGUUGAGUUUACAGUGAGCCUUGAUUGAGUCACUGCACUUCAGCCUGAGUGACAGAGUGAGACAUUGUCUCAAAAAUAAAAAGGAAAAGAAAAUUUAUAACGACAAAGGUCAGGCAGGUUUGUUUAGAGACCACUAUGAAAAAUUUGAGCUUCCAAAGCUCAGAGUUUCUUUCCUGUGAUGCAACCGCCACAUAUGCAGGAAUCACCUGACGCUUUUCAUAUCACCCUGUGGUAAUUGAGACUUAAGAACUGGUCAAGAAAAUCAUGACACUCUGGCUAUACUGUCGUUGCUGUGAGUAUCACGCCAUCCAUUGUAUUAGACCCAAGAGUCUCAUAUCUUUCACAGUAUCUGUAAAACUGUAAUAGGAUAACAUCUUGAUUUGUAAGUAGGGAAAUAUUUGAGACCCUCAGCAGUUCUUAACAGUUUAUAAAAUUUCAUACCAUUCAUAGUUUCUGAUAAAAAUGUUUUUAAGGAACGCUUGUUUGAAGGCUUUGGAAUGCUACUAAGAUUGUGAAAAAUUUCAGGCCCAAGAUCUAAGAAAGAAAGGAGUGUUCUUCAUAGGAAAUAAUCUGGAGUCCAUUCUCUCUAUCCUGCUUUGUCCUUCCUGAAGUAAGUUCCAGUUUGUCAAUAUCUUAUGCAGAAUGUGGCAUUCAGAAAUAAGGACAAUUCUUCUAGUGAAAUAACUGAUGCUUAUUCUGUCUACAUCUUGUUAUUGCACGGCAAGAACAAGCAGUUGGACCUCAUUCAUCAGGGACCACCACCACUGUGUUCGACACCUUGGGCUAGGGAAGAAUGCUGAAUGUGUUCAUGAUUUGUCUGGGUACUCCUCCCAG